Molecule: ribosomal RNA, 468 nt
Filed under: uncultured bacterium
Lineage: Bacteria
Description: partial 16S ribosomal RNA
Rfam family: Bacterial small subunit ribosomal RNA
Source: RNAcentral
GACGAACGCUGGCGGCGUGCUUAACACAUGCAAGUCGAACGGAAAGGCCCUGCUUUUGUGGGGUGCUCGAGUGGCGAACGGGUGAGUAACACGUGAGUAACCUGCCCUUGACUUUGGGAUAACUUCAGGAAACUGGGGCUAAUACCGGAUAGGAGCUCCUGCUGCAUGGUGGGGGUUGGAAAGUUUCGGCGGUUGGGGAUGGACUCGCGGCUUAUCAGCUUGUUGGUGGGGUAGUGGCUUACCAAGGCUUUGACGGGUAGCCGGCCUGGGAGGGUGACCGGCGACAUUGGGACUGAGAGAGGGCCCAGACUCAUACGGGAGGCAGCAGUGGGGAAUAUUGCACAAUGGGAGGAAGCCUGAUGGAGAAACGCCGAGUGCGGGAUGACGGCCUUAGGGUUGUAAACCGCUUUGGCAUGUGACGAAGCGUGAGUGACGGUAAUGGGUAAAGAAGCACCGGCUAACUACGUG